UUAUUGUCUUGAUAAUCUUGUACAUUUAUCUCAGCUUGAGAAGCUCAAAGUUCAGUUCAGAGAGAGUUAUAUGCUAAUUUUCAGGUGGAUGAGCGAAGAUUGGAUGGACCUUUCUUCGCUACACAUUCCACAUUGUGACAAUUUCCCACCAAACCUUAAGAAGUUAACAUUGUGCAGAACACACAUACAAUGGGAAGACAUGAACAUUCUUAGAAAAUUACCUAAUCUUGAGGUGCUCAAACUUAAACAUCAUGCCUUUCUCGGACUAAUUUGGAAACUAAGCGAUGAAGAUGAAGAUGGAUUCUUGAAGCUAAAGUUUUUACUUCUUGAGAACAUGAAUCUGAUGCAAUGGGAAGCAACAAGUUAUCAUUUCCCAAACCUUGAGCACUUGGUUCUAACAGAUUGCUAUUUGUUGGAGCAAAUGCCUUUUGACUUUGCAGAGAUUCAGACACUACAGCUGAUUGAACUACACAAAUGUAAGUGUUCUGUUCUUGUUUCAGCAGAGCAAAUACAAGAGGAGCAACAAAGCUUGGGAAAUGAUGACCUCGUUAUUCAUGUGAACUAUAUACGUGAGUAAACAUUAAUCAAAAAAGGUAUACAUUUCUUAAAAGCAUAAAGAUUUUACUUGCUUCUUUUGUUUACAAUAAUGUUUUAUCAUUUUGAAUAUGUUGACUUUUAGUCAAUUUUAUUUUUUCUUUAGUUCAAAACAAUAUAAUAAAAGAGUUUAUGAUGAUUCCUUGAUUGCAUACCAUUUUUAUGUUCGAGCAUGGACAAAUGUAUCUCAAGAAUUUGACACUAGAGAAAUUUUUCUUGGUAUUCUUCGCUCCAUUGGCGUGGUCAACGAUGAAGUAGAAAGAAACAGUACUAAUGAGCAAUUGGCUGAAAGAGUUUAUCGAAGUUUAAAAGGGAGGAAGUAUCUCAUUAUCCUAGAUGAUAUGUGGUCCAUCGAGGCUUGGAAGCAUGUGAGGAGACUAUUUCCGGAUGAUCAUAAUGGAAGUCGAAUCGUGUUAACCACGAGGCUUGUAGAUGUUGCAUCUUGUGCUUGCUCUGGCAAUUCCCUUCACCAGAUGCGCUUUCUGAGUGUGGCGGAAAGCUGGACUGUAACAUCCGGCAAUUUGAAAUAACUAUGAAGAAGCUUGGAAUUGGAAAUAGUCAUUUUUGGAAAGACUUUUAAAAAAAUCUGGAAAAUUUGGUUGUUAAGUAUGGGUAAAAGGUGAGUUUUUGGCCAACUUUGAACAGUCAUAACGUCUAGCUCAAGAUGAGUUAGGUGUAGUUCCAGUUAUGUUUACAAAGCUCGUGGAAUGAUCUUUCCAACGCCAUCGAGUUUUCUCGAUUCUGAGUUCGUAUGAGUGAGUUAUGCCCUUUGGAAAUUGGGCAGUUGGCAGGGAAGUCCGUCCGGAAAUUUUAAGGGUAUUUUGGUCUUUUCCCUAACCAAUUCUUUUGGAUAUAUUAAGGUGUUAGACUGAUUUUAGAUCAGUUUUUCCCUUUUUGAAAGAGUGAGAGUGAGGGUUUGUGAGUAAAGAGGAAAAGAAGGGGAGAAAGAGAAGAUCAAGCAAGGUUUCGUCAAAGAUCGUCGUGGAUAUUGUCGGGGGUGAUCCCUACUAGGUAUGUGAGAUCAUAGUGUUUGGUUGGUUCAUUCCCCCACACGCCAAAUUCGUUUUAAUAUCCGAGAAAAGAUUUGGUUGUGUUUAUUGAAGUCUUGUGGUUGUGGUUGGUGAGGUUGUGGUUGUGUUAUUGAAGUUCUUGUGGAUUUGAGACAUGUUUUAGGUUGUGUUUUCGAGUUGAAUCUAUUGUGUAUUAAGGGGUUUUAAUGAUCCCAAGUGUUUGGGGAAGGAACCUUUGAAGUUAAGAGGGUUUAGAGUUGGUAACAUGAAGGAGAAAAGUCGGGCAGCUUGCAUGAAACAAGUCUGCGUCGCAGACUUGUUCCCUCUGUGAACAAAUCUGCUCCGCGUCGCGGACAGGACGCGGACUUCACUGUUUCAAAAAUUUAAUUUCGUAAUUUUUCUUAAGUUUAGCUGUCCUAAAUCAUUCCUAAACAUCAUGAGGUCUUUCCAAACACAAAUCAUGAAUCCUUGAAUCCAUAAUUCAAUUCAAGAAAGUUAGGAUCAAAGUCAAGUGAAGUUAAGAGUCAAGUCUAAAAGUUAAGAAGCAAGUCUUUAAAGCUUUUCAAGAGUCUUUAUUAAACGUUUUAACUUCGUUUUAAGGCUCAAGUUUCAAGUUAAGUAAAGUGUAUAGAGUUUCAAGUUAAGUAAAGAGUAUAGAGUGUCAAGUCAAGUAAAGAGUAAGAACAAUGUAGCCAAACAUGGGACUUAACGGGUUAUUCUUUUUAGAUGAUCACGUAAGAUUAAGCUAGUGGAUUCACUAAGUAAAGUAAGGUCCUAUAUCACGGAAAAGUAUAGGAUGGUCCUUGGGCAACGUGAGGUAAAACGUUGUAUCAUCACUAGGGCUCAUAGUGGUGGUUGUCGGUUAAAGAAUCUCCCACAAAAGUUAUAUUAACUUUUAUAUAAGUAAAGUUGAGUUGUUAUUGCUUUAUCCUUAACGAACUAAGUUGUUUACACUGUUUUGCAAGCUUUAUAUAUAUUGCGUGUGUCUUAUUGCUUUAUAUUGAGUUCGGUUAUUCAUGAGUUGAAUAGAGCCAAGGUAAGUGUUCUCUUGUACUCCUUUCAAGCUUAAGUUGUUGUUUAGCUUUCCAGCUCGCAUACUCGUACAUUAAAUGUACUGAUGCCAGUUGACAUGUAUCUUAUUAUGAUGCAGACACAGGUACCCAGGAUCAGCAUUCGGCACACCGUUGAUCCAGCCGAGCACUUCCGAGUCAGUGGUGAGCCUCUUUGCAUUCCGGAGUACUCAGUUAUUUUGUUCUCUUAGUUUGUUUUAUUAGGAUGUUCCGGGGUCUGUCCCAACAUCCAUCUCAGUGUUAUAGAGGCUUCAUAGACAGUCAGUCAGUUAGUAUUGAGUCUCUCAUCUAUGUAUAUAUGUAAAUAUUCUAUUUUGAGACUCGAGUUGCCUUUUUGGGCCAGAUUUUAUCAGUUAAGUUGUUUUAUGUCCUUGCAUUGCAUGGAGUUAUUCUGUUGAGUUAGGUUUCCGCUGAGUUAAGAAAGUCAGGCCAAAGGUUCGCUUGGGGCCAACAAUGGUCUUCGAGUGCCAGCCAUGUCCAGGGUAUAGGCUCGGGGCAUGGCAAUCUUUUACGCGAUAAGGUCUUUGGGAACGGUAGGUACCCUCCGGAAUUGGAGAAAAUUGGGAGGUACAUUGGCCACCAGUGUCAAGGGUUGCCACUUGCAAUUGUUGCAAUUGGUGGACUACUUUCCAAGAUGAGCAAGGAAACAAGUUCUUGGGAGAACGUUGCAGAAAAGGUAGGAUCACUUAUGACCAGUGACACUAUGGAUUGCUUGAACAUACUUUCUUUGAGCUACAACCACUUGCCUCAGUACUUGAAAACAAACAUGCUUCCUUUAUAUGGGAGUUUUUGCAGAAACUCAUGAGAUUCCGGUCUGGAAGUUAAUAAAGUUAUGGAUUGCUGAGGGAUUCGUCAAGAAAGUUUAUCAUAAAAAUCUUGAAGAUGUGGCAGAGGAAAAUUUGAGGGAGUUAGUUGAUAGAAGUUUGGUUUUGGUGGGGAAGCAUAGCUCCCUAGGUUUUAUCAAGACUUGUAAAAUGCAUGAUCUCGUUCGAGAUAUGUGUUUGAGAGAAGCCCAAUAUGAGAAUUUUAUUCACUUCAAAACAAGGUAUGACAACGAUGAUCUUCUAGAAAACUUUAAUUGUCUACGUCGUGUAGUUGAUUUCAAUAAAUAUGGAUACAGUGAAAUUCCUAAACUUAUGCCACUCACACGUUCUGUUUUCUUCAAAUAUCCACACUUUUUUUGUUUCCUCUCACAGUCAAGCUUUAGAUUACUUAGGAUAUUAGAUGUUUGCUUUACAUCUUUUUUGUACUGUAGUCAAUCCAUAUCAGAACUUGUUCAUUUGAAGUAUCUUGCUUGUCCGUCCUUUGAUGGUCUUGUGCAAUCAGUAUGUAAGCUACGGAAUAUACAGAACUUAGUUAUUCAUGAUUUAAAUUUAUCUGGUUUACAUAUGAGAACCCAGUCCCUACCAUGGGAAGUUGUGAAUAUGCCUCAACUAAGACAUAUCCAUACAAAAAAGUUCAGUCUUUUCAUACCCCCACCUACAUCACUAAUUGCUGAGAGGGAGAAUCACUUGCAAACGUUAACCGGAUUGGAGCCCUCAUCUUGUAACGAUGAGGUGUUUCUAAGAAUUCCAAAUUUGAAGAAGUUGGGAAUAUUAAUUGUUGAUUCAGACACUAUUAGGAAGUGUUAUUGUCUUGAUAAUCUUGUACAUUUAACUCAGCUUGAGAAGCUCAAAGUUGAGUUCAGCGAGAGUUAUCUGCUAAUUUUUAGGCGGAUUAGCGAAGGUUGGGUGGACCUUUCUUGGCUACACAUUCCACAUUGUGACAAUUUCCCACCAAACCUUAAGAAGUUAACAUUGUGCGGAACUUACCUACAAUGGGAAGACAUGAACAUUCUCAAAAAAUUACCUAAUCUUGAGGUGCUCAAACUUAAACAUCAUGCCUUUCACGGACUAAUUUGGAAACUAAGCGAUGAAGAUGAAGAUGGAUUCUUUCAGUUAAAGUUUUUACUUCUUGAGAGCUUGCAUCUGAAGCAAUGGGAAGCAACAAGUUAUCAUUUUCCAAGCCUUGAGCACUUAGUCCUAACAGAUUGCUAUUCAUUGGAGCAAAUUCCUUUCGACUUUGCAGAGAUUCAAACACUACAGCUGAUUGAACUACACAAAUGCAUGCUUUCUGUUCUUGAUUUAGCAGAGCAAAUACAAGAGGAGCAACAAAGUUUGGGAAAUGAUGACCUUGUUAUUCGUGUGAACUAUAUACGUGAGUAACAUUAAUAAAAAAGGUAUACAUUUUUUAAAAGCAUAAAGAUUUUUUUUCCUGAAUUUUUCUUACAUAGCUCUUAUCUUGGAUAACUUUUUCUAUCUUAUAAAAGUUAGUGUGCAGUACAAAAUAUUAAUUUGAUUAGCUAGAUUCUUUCGAAAUCUGAAAUUGAUUCUUAUAUUCAUCAUUUUUAUUUAUUUAUACUAUAAAAGGUGCUAAUUACAAUAGGUUUUGUGCAUUGCAGACAAAAAACUUAGUUGAUGGAGAGUGCCAUAAGAUAUACUCAAGCAUAAAUAAGUUGAUCACUCUUUGCAGUAGUUGAUCUUACCUUUCAGUGUAUUUCGAUUUCCUUUUUCCAGUUCAACUUGUUUGGGACUGAGGCUUAGUUUAGUGAAUUGUAUAUCUAGAUAUAAUUCAAAUAUAAUGCAUUUACUUUGGAAUGUGUAUGUAUUUGAACGUACUUCUCUUAGUUGCUUGUACCACCAUGUUGAAUCAAUAUAUUUAUUUGCAGGCAUUGUCCAAAAACAGGCACCUUGUUAUUAUAGUUAAAGUUAGCAAGCAUUUUCCUUCCAAGGAUCAAGUUCAAUUAUUCUGAGCAUGUUCAAUGGAUAACAGGGAUGGAAUAGAGGUUGAAUGGUAGGAGACAGUAUGCUUAGAGAGAAAGAAGGGUGUGAACUUUUUGUACGUCAUUUGCCUACUUUUUUUGAAACAUUCCCAGUCGUUUUGGUAGAUGAUGAUUGAAUUGUUAGACCCGAUGUUCCUUUUAUUAGGUGAGAAUCAGAGUUUAGUGUUGAACACGUAGGUGUAAUCAUUGAGUUCUACUGCUGUGAAGUGGGUGAAAUUUUCGAAUUAUAUCGUGCUACUUUGAAAACCUAUGGUGUUUCUUCAUAGCAGUCAAAAGGGUUGAUUUACUUUUGGCCUUUGGGCAUGCUUCGUUUGCUUUGCUCUUCUUCUUCAGACACAUUUGGCAUGACACUAGAACCUUGUUUGUGUUUUUUCUUAGGGUUGAUUUAUCAGAUAAUCACUCCAUUAAUAGUUAUUAUCUCAAAAAGUCACAAUUCUUCUUUUUUCCAAAUUUUUUUCUACAAAGAAAGUGACUUUCUGAGAUAAUAACUAUUAAUCGAGUGACCAUAUGAGAAAUCAACUCGUUUUUCUUUUAAGAAAUAUUCUUGUUGGUUCACUCAAUGAUGCCUUUUUAUCUUUUAUCAUCUUGCUAAUGGGACAUUGGACAAGUCUUUAAUUUAGACAAUCUUGUAGUUAGUUGCUAUGAAGUUUCAAAUUCCAUAGCAGAAACUCCAGUAUAUUGUCAUGGAGUAAAACUUGUAAAAACAACAACAUACCUAGUGUAGUAUCAUAAGUGAAGUCUAGGGAGGAUAAGAUGUACACAGACCAUAUCCCUACCUUUGUAGUGUAGAGACGGAGUUUGUUUCCGAUAGGCCCUCGACUCAACAAUAAAGAAAAGAACUUGAAGCAUGGUAGCAAGAAAAUAUGACAGAAAAAAAAGUAAGAUACAGAUCAAAUGAAGCAACAAAUAGUAAUACACAUCGAAGAAAAAGAAACAAAGUGCAACAAUACUUGGCUACCUACUAACCUUCUAAUCUAAUCCUCAACUUUCACUCCUUCCUAUCUAGGGUCAUAUCCGAAAUAAAACUUGUAGAUUUUGAAAUUACAUGACUAUAGUUAUUUUUCGAAGAUAUGUCCGAAAAGCGGCUCUCUAGUAUGAAUGUAGUUUGGGCAAGUUGUAUGACUUUGGGUGUCUGACAAACUAUUCCAACUUGCUUUUUGGUACAAGUCUUAAAUACAAUUUGAGUCUCAAUCUGACAAAUAAUUCAAUGAGCAAAACAAGAAUUCUCACUUCUACCUUCCACCAACCCCACCAUUACUCUCUUGGAGAGAAACAGACACAAAGAGAAGACUUCUCUUUACAAAGCCUUAAAAGUCUUGCAUUCCCAUCCAUUACAUUGCCUUCUUCUUUCAUAAAGAAUUGGUUUUGAGAAUCUAAAUCAACAACUCAGAACUUCCUCCUACUGUCCUGUUUAGCAAGAAACUAACAAACAGCGAUAUGGCGGCGUAUGCUGCUGUGAAUUCACUUUUGCAUACGCUGGAUAAUCUAUCUCAAACUCAUACAUCACAUUCUCUUCUUUACAAAAAAAAGCAAACUGAAGUCCUCAGUGACAAGUACACCUUCCUUAAAACCUUUCUUGAGGAUUUUACUAAUAUUUUCCAUGAAGAUGUAAAGAUGAAGCAUCUCGAAAGGAUAAUCCAAGAAGCUGCUAAUGGAGUGGAAGAUACUAUUGACUCACAUGUAUAUGAUAGCUCUGCCUUAGUACAAAGCAAGCGAGUACGAAGAAAGGCUUAUACGAUCUUUCAUCAAAACUUGGAAUAUGCAAUUGAGGAAAUUGGUUUGAUACAAAAAGAGGUUAUGAAAAAGAUAAAGGUCAACAAGUUCAACAGCAAAAUCUCUCAUUCAAGAGAUACUUCAUCUCAGAUCCCUAUGGAUCAAAAAGAUGUAAUCAUUGGACUGGAUGAAGACUUGCUAAAGAUAAAAGAUCGACUCAUCGUGCAAUCAUCAAGACUCGAAGUUGUCCCCAUUAUAGGGAUGGGUGGUAUUGGCAAGACCACACUGGCUAGAAGAGUUUAUGAUGAUUCCUUGAUUGCAUACCAUUUUUAUGUNNNNNNNNNNNNNNNNNNNNNNNNNNNNNNNNNNNNNNNNNNNNNNNNNNNNNNNNNNNNNNNNNNNNNNNNNNNNNNNNNNNNNNNNNNNNNNNNNNNNNNNNNNNNNNNNNNNNNNNNNNNNNNNNNNNNNNNNNNNNNNNNNNNNNNNNNNNNNNNNNNNNNNNNNNNNAAAGAAACAGUACUACUGAGCAAUUGGCUGAAAGAGUUUAUCGAAAUUUAAAAGGGAGGAAGUAUCUUAUUGUCCUAGAUGAUAUGUGGUCUAUCAAGGCUUGGCAGCAUGUGAGGAGAUCAUUUCCAGAUGAUCGUAAUGGAAGUCGAAUCGUGUUGACCACAAGGCUUGUAGAUGUUGCAUCUUGUGUUUGCUCUGGCAAUUCCCUUCACCAGAUGCGUUUUCUGAGCAUGGAGGAAAGCUGGGAUCUUUUAAGCGGUAAGGUCUUUGGGAAUGGUAGUUACCCUCCGGACAAAAUCUCACAUUCAAGAGAUACUUCCUCACUGCUCCCUUUGUAUCAAAAAGAUAUAAUCGUUGGACUGGAUGAAGACUUGCUGAAGAUAAAAGAACGACUCACCGUGCAAUCGUCAAGACUCGAAGUUGUCCCCAUUAUAGGGAUGGGUGGUAUUGGCAAGACCACACUGGCUAGAAGAGUUUAUGAUGAUUCCUUGAUUGCAUACCAUUUUUAUGUCCGAGCAUGGGCAAAUGUAUCUCAAGAAUUUGACACUAGAGAAAUUUUUCUUGGUAUUCUUCGCUCCAUUGGCAUGGUCAACGAUGAAGAAGAAAGAAACAGUACUACUGAGCAAUUGGCUGAAAGAGNNNNNNNNNNNNNNGUCAACGAUGAAGUAGAAAGAAACAGUACUAAUGAGCAAUUGGCUGAAAGAGUUUAUCGAAGUUUAAAAGGGAUGAAGUAUCUUAUUGUCCUAGAUGAUAUGUGGUCCAUCAAGGCUUGGCAGCAUGUGAGGAGAUCAUUUCCAGAUGAUCGUAAUGGAAGUCGAAUCGUGUUGACCACAAGGCUUGUAGAUGUUGCAUCUUGUGUUUGCUCUGGCAAUUCCCUUCACCAGAUGCGUUUUCUGAGCAUGGAGGAAAGCUGGGAUCUUUUAAGCGGUAAGGUCUUUGGGAAUGGUAGUUACCCUCCGGAAUUGGAGAAAAUUGGGAGGUACAUUGGCCAUCAGUGUCAAGGGUUGCCACUUGCAGUUGUUGCAAUUGGUGGACUACUUUCCAAGAUGAGCAAGGAAACAAGUUCUUGGGAGAAUGUUGCAGAAAAGGUAGGAUCACUUAUGACAAGUGACACUAUGGAUUGCUUGAACAUACUUUCUUUGAGCUACAACCACUUGCCUCAGUACUUGAAAACAUGCUUCCUUUAUAUGGGAGUUUUUGCAGAAACUCGUGAGAUCCCGGUCUGGAAGUUAAUAAAGUUAUGGAUUGCUGAGGGCUUCGUCAAGAAAGUUAAUCAUAAAAAUCUAGAAGAUGUGGCAGAGGAAAAUUUGAGGGAGUUGGUUGAUAGAAGUUUGGUUUGGUGGGAAGCAUACUUCACUAGGAAAAAUCAAGACUUGUAAGAUGCAUGAUCUCGUUCGAGAUAUGUGUUUGAGAGAAGCCCAAUAUGAGAAUUUUAUACACUUCGAAACAAGGUAUAACCAUGAUGAUCUUCUAGAAAACAUUAAUUGUCUACGCCGUGUAGUUGAUUUCAAUAAGUAUAGAUACAGUUUUGAUAUUCCUAAACUUAUGCCACUCACACGUUCUCUUUUCUUGAAAUAUCCAUACUCUGUUUGUUCCCUCUCACAGUCAAGCUUUAGAUUACUUAGGAUAUUAGAUGUUUGCUUUACAUCUCGUUUGUACCGUAGUAUGUCCAUAACAGAACUUGUUCAUUUGAGGUAUCUUGCUUGUCCAUCCUUCAAUGGUCUUGUGCAAUCACUAUGCAAGCUACGGAAUAUACAGAACUUAGUUAUUCAGGAUUUACGUUCAUCUGGUUUACGUAGGAGAACCCAGUUCCUACCAUGGGAAGUUGUGAAUAUGCCUAAACUAAGACAUAUCCAUACAAAAAAGUUUAGUCUUUUCAUACCCCCUACAUCACUAAUUGCUGAGAGGGAGAAUCAUUUACAAACGUUAACCGGAUUGAUGCCCUCAUCUUGUAAUGAAGAGGUGUUUCUAAGAAUUCCAAAUUUGAAGAAGUUGGGAAUUUUAAUUGUUGAUGAUUCAGACACUAUUCAGAAGUGUUAUUGCCUUGAUAAUCUUGUACAUUUAACUCAGCUUGAGAAGCUCAAAGUUGAGGUCAGAGAGAGUUGGCUAAUUUUUAGGCCGACUAUCAAAGGUUGGGUGGACAUUCCACAUUGUGACAAUUUCCCACCAAACCUUAAGAAGUUAACAUUGUGCACAACACACCUAGAAUGGGAAGACAUGAACAUUCUUAGUAAGUUACCUAACCUUGAGGUGCUCAAACUUAAAGAUCAUGCCUUUCGCGGACAUAUUUGGAAACUAAGCGAUGAAGACGCAGAUGGAUUCUUGAAGCUAAAGUUUUUACUUCUUGAGCACAUGCAUCUGGAGCAAUGGGAAGCAACAAGUUAUCAUUUCCCAAGCCUUGAGCACUUAGUCCUAACACAUUGCCAUUCGUUGGAGCAAAUUCCUUUCGACUUUGCGGAGAUUCAGACACUACAGCUGAUUGAACUACACAAUUGUAUGCGUUCUGUUCUUGUUUCAGCAGAGCAAAUACAAGAGGAGCAACAAAGCUUUGGAAAUGAUGACCUCAUUAUUCGUGUGAAC
Molecule: long non-coding RNA, 10295 nt
Filed under: Solanum tuberosum (potato)
Lineage: Eukaryota; Viridiplantae; Streptophyta; Magnoliopsida; Solanales; Solanaceae
Description: long non-coding RNA (STUB_LNC001179)
Source: RNAcentral